GUACACUCCUGCGGGAGGCAGCAGUGGGGAAUUUUGGACAAUGGGCGAAAGCCUGAUACAGCAAUGCCGCGUGAGUGAAGAAGGCCUUCGGGUUGUAAAGCUCUUUUGUCAGGGAAGAAACGGUGAAAGCUAAUAUCUUUUGCUAAUGACGGUACCUGAAGAAUAAGCACCGGCUAACUACGUGCCAGCAGCCGCGGUAAUACGUAGGGUGCAAGCGUUAAUCGGAAUUACUGGGCGUAAAGCGUGCGCAGGCGGUUUUGUAAGUCUGAUGUGAAAUCCCCGGGCUCAACCUGGGAAUUGCAUUGGAGACUGCAAGGCUAGAAUCUGGCAGAGGGGGGUAGAAUUCCACGUGUAGCAGUGAAAUGCGUAGAUAUGUGGAGGAACACCGAUGGCGAAGGCAGCCCCCUGGGUCAAGAUUGACGCUCAUGCACGAAAGCGUGGGGAGCAAACAGGAUUAGAAACCCGGGUAGUCCC
This 474-nucleotide ribosomal RNA is filed under the name uncultured organism. RNAcentral describes it as "partial 16S ribosomal RNA". It matches the Rfam family "Bacterial small subunit ribosomal RNA", at positions 331 to 797 of the family's 1533-position model. The record is from RNAcentral.